This 253-nucleotide ribosomal RNA is filed under the name uncultured bacterium. RNAcentral describes it as "partial 16S ribosomal RNA". It matches the Rfam family "Bacterial small subunit ribosomal RNA", at positions 524 to 776 of the family's 1533-position model. The record is from RNAcentral.
UACAGAGGUCUCAAGCGUUGUUCGGAUUCAUUGGGCGUAAAGGGCGCGUAGGCGGUACUUCAAGUCAGGCGUGAAAGCCCCGGGCUCAACCUGGGAACCGCGCUUGAGACUGGAGAACUAGAGUUCGGGAGAGGAUGGUGGAAUUCCCAGUAUAGAGGUGAAAUUCGUAGAUAUUGGGAAGAACACCGAUGGCGAAGGCAGCCAUCUGGACCGACACUGACGCUGAGGCGCGAAAGCGUGGGGAGCAAACAGG